UACGGAGGGUGCAAGCGUUAUCCGGAUUCACUGGGUUUAAAGGGUGCGUAGGUGGGUUGUUAAGUCAGUGGUGAAAUCCCCGAGCUUAACUUGGGAACUGCCAUUGAUACUAUUGAUCUUGAAUACCGUGGAGGUCAGCGGAAUAUGUCAUGUAGCGGUGAAAUGCUUAGAUAUGACAUAGAACACCAAUUGCGAAGGCAGCUGGCUACGCGAAUAUUGACACUGAUGCACGAAAGCGUGGGGAUCAAACAGG
This 253-nucleotide ribosomal RNA is filed under the name uncultured bacterium. RNAcentral's name for it is "partial 16S ribosomal RNA". It matches the Rfam family "Bacterial small subunit ribosomal RNA", at positions 524 to 776 of the family's 1533-position model. The record is from RNAcentral.